GCUGGGGAGCCUGAUGAAGAUGAGGAGCAACCAGUAAAAAAAAAGGAUCUAAUGUGAUUUUGCCUGCGGCACCUUGGUUUCCAUCUCUUUCAACACCACAACUGCAGCCACAUCAGUCAGUUUCUG
Long non-coding RNA from Sinocyclocheilus grahami, 126 nucleotides. RefSeq lists it as uncharacterized. The record is from RefSeq and is a predicted model, not a curated record. The transcript is spliced from 3 exons. Lineage: Eukaryota; Metazoa; Chordata; Actinopteri; Cypriniformes; Cyprinidae.